AAUCAACGCCGGCGGCGUGCCUAACACAUGCAAGUCGAACGAGAAAGUGGAGCAAUCCAUGAGUAAAGUGGCGUACGGGUGAGUAACACGUGACUAACCUACCCUUGAGUGGGGGAUAACUUCGGGAAACCGAGGCUAAUACCGCAUAAUACCUUCGGGUCAAAGGAGCAAUUCGCUUAAGGAGGGGGUCGCGGCUGAUUAGCUAGUUGGUAGGGUAAUGGCCUACCAAGGCAAUGAUCAGUAUCCGGCCUGAGAGGGCGCACGGACACACUGGAACUGAAACACGGUCCAGACUCCUACGGGAGGCAGCAGUGGGGAAUUUUGCACAAUGGGGGAAACCCUGAUGCAGCAACGCCGCGUGGAGGAUGAAGUCCCUUGGGAUGUAAACUCCUUUCGACCGGGACGAUAAUGACGGUACCGGUAGAAGAAGCCCCGGCUAACUCUGUGCCAGCAGCCGCGGUAAUACAGAGGGGGCAAGCGUUGUUCGGAAUUAUUGGGCGUAAAGGGUGCGUAGGCGGUGCGGUAAGUCUUCUGUGAAAUCUCCGGGCUCAACUCGGAGUCUGCAGGAGAAACUGCCG
This 578-nucleotide ribosomal RNA is filed under the name uncultured bacterium. RNAcentral's name for it is "bacterial SSU rRNA". It matches the Rfam family "Bacterial small subunit ribosomal RNA", at positions 28 to 638 of the family's 1533-position model. The record is from RNAcentral.